GAGCCCUUAGCUCAAUGGUUAGAGCACUGGCCCUAUGCACCAGGGAUGGCAGGUUCAAACCUGGCCAGGGCCU
This 73-nucleotide transfer RNA is filed under the name Otolemur garnettii (small-eared galago). It matches the Rfam family "tRNA". From Rfam's summary of the family: Transfer RNA (tRNA) molecules are approximately 80 nucleotides in length. Their secondary structure includes four short double-helical elements and three loops (D, anti-codon, and T loops). Further hydrogen bonds mediate the characteristic L-shaped molecular structure. tRNAs have two regions of fundamental functional importance: the anti-codon, which is responsible for specific mRNA codon recognition, and the 3' end, to which the tRNAs corresponding amino acid is attached (by aminoacyl-tRNA synthetases). tRNAs cope with the degeneracy of the genetic code in two manners: having more than one tRNA (with a specific anti-codon) for a particular amino acid; and 'wobble' base-pairing, i.e. permitting non-standard base-pairing at the 3rd anti-codon position. Lineage: Eukaryota; Metazoa; Chordata; Mammalia; Primates; Galagidae. The record is from Rfam by way of RNAcentral.